UACAGAGGGUGCGAGCGUUGUUCGGAUUCACUGGGCGUAAAGGGUGCGUAGGUGGUGAGGUAAGUCUGAUGUGAAAUCUCCGAGCUCAACUCGGAAAUGGCAUUGGAAACUACUUGGCUAGAGGAGUGGAGGGGGGACUGGAAUUCUCGGUGUAGCAGUGAAAUGCGUAGAGAUCGAGAGGAACACCAGUGGCGAAGGCGAGUCCCUGGACACUUCCUGACGCUGAGGCACGAAAGCUAGGGGAGCAAACAGG
RNAcentral lists this ribosomal RNA (253 nucleotides) under uncultured bacterium. RNAcentral describes it as "partial 16S ribosomal RNA". It matches the Rfam family "Bacterial small subunit ribosomal RNA", at positions 524 to 776 of the family's 1533-position model. The record is from RNAcentral.